RNAcentral lists this ribosomal RNA (225 nucleotides) under Escherichia coli. RNAcentral's name for it is "partial 16S ribosomal RNA". It matches the Rfam family "Bacterial small subunit ribosomal RNA", at positions 1 to 222 of the family's 1533-position model. Lineage: Bacteria; Pseudomonadati; Pseudomonadota; Gammaproteobacteria; Enterobacterales; Enterobacteriaceae. The record is from RNAcentral.
AAAUUGAAGAGUUUGAUCAUGGCUCAGAUUGAACGCUGGCGGCAGGCCUAACACAUGCAAGUCGAACGGUAACAGGAAGAAGCUUGCUUCUUUGCUGGCGAGUGGCGGACGGGUGAGUAAUGUCUGGGAAACUGCCUGAUGGAGGGGGAUAACUACUGGAAACGGUAGCUAAUACCGCAUAACGUCGCAAGACCAAAGAGGGGGACCUUCGGGCCUCUUGCCAUC